AUUAAAAGUCCUGGAUCUCCUGGAUGUAGGACUGUUGAGGAUGCUACUAUGGUUUUGUUUUAGACUUUAAAAAAUUUUAUGCGAAUUGCAUAUUCCUUGAGUAGUCUGCUCUUCAAUUAACCUUAAUCCAAGUGGAUUAUGACAGGGAAGCUAUAUAAAUGGGAACUCUUGCCAUGUAGCACCUUGCAUACUCAAAUAGCCUUUUUUACCUGGUUCACUAAGCCCCUGAAUAUUGGAUGAAUUGGACUGUCACCACCAGAAUGUUGCUUAUGUUCUUUCUAUCUCCUAGAGAUAAAAAUGCUUCAGAUAAGCAGGAUAUGUUAGCAUUAUUCUUUGAAUAUGCUGAGUAUAAUUUCAGCCCACAUCUUUGCUUACCAAUUAUUCAAGAUAAAUUGGAGAAUGGGUAAUCAGUUCAGUGCUACAAUCUUUACUCCAAACUAUGGAACACUCUCUAGGAAAAGUCCUUGGUUUUCAGCUUGAUUUUCUUGUUGGUCUCAGAGUGCCUUUAACUUCAACAUGGGGAUUACCAAGUUUUCCAAAGCAUGAGGUUCCUGCCUUUGGCCUGCAGGUAGGAAGACCUGAAUUCAAAUGUGACUUUAGACCCUAACUAUCAGCUUCAGUUUCCUGGAAUGUCAAAUGAGGAUAAUAAUAGUAUUUCCUCCCAGGAUAAUUGAGGAUCAAAUGAGAUCAUUAUAGAGCUUUUAGCACAGUGCCUGGCACAUAGUAAGCCCUUAACAAAUGCUUAUUCCUGCCCUAUUUCUCUGUUUUCUGAGGUUUCAUGGGUGGUGGCUUCCUUUAUCUUGAAUGGGGUCAGUCAAGGGUGUAUAAAUUCCCUGCAACCCCACCCAGUUCCUUUUAAGAGCUCCUCUAAAGCACUGUUUUUGCCUUUCUUUGGAAUUCUUAGUUCUUAGUGUAAUUCCUGGCAUAUAGUGAAUCCUUAUUAAAUGUUUGAUGUUUGAUUAAUUCAUUUCAUAUGACUUUUUUCUUUAGGAGCAGCUCUCACUUUGCAAAGGUUCUGUAUGUUCCAAUGGAUCCCCUUAUAUCUGGGCAUCAAUUUCAAAGAAAAAUAAAGUCCUGGGAGUUUACUCCAUUGAAAACAUAUUUUCUGGACUCAUUCAGUAAGAGCAGUGUGAUGAGGAAAUUGAGUCUUCAAGAAAUUAAAUGAAUUACCAGGAGUACAUACCUAAUAAUUGUACUACAUGAGGAUAUUUGACCUGGAAAAUAAGAGAUUUGGAAGGUGAGGAGUAUGAUUUCUACAUGACAACUUCUCAAGACUUAAAGAUAGCAGAUGUGGAAGAUUUGUUCAAUAGAGCCCUAAAGAAAAGUAUGUUGUAUAAACUGCUGAAGAAUUGUCUUGCUAAUUAAGGCUUCCCUCUUUGCUAUAAGACUAUAAAUAAAAACAUUUUAUCCUCAAAAAAAAUUGUGUAG
RNAcentral lists this long non-coding RNA (1428 nucleotides) under Monodelphis domestica (gray short-tailed opossum). RNAcentral's name for it is "lncRNA (ENSMODG00000034379.2)". Lineage: Eukaryota; Metazoa; Chordata; Mammalia; Didelphimorphia; Didelphidae. The record is from RNAcentral.